UAAUAUGUAGAUUCGGGUUAAUGUGA
Molecule: non-coding RNA, 26 nt
Filed under: Rattus norvegicus (Norway rat)
Lineage: Eukaryota; Metazoa; Chordata; Mammalia; Rodentia; Muridae
Source: RNAcentral